This is a long non-coding RNA of Helianthus annuus (common sunflower), 1794 nucleotides long. RefSeq lists it as uncharacterized. The record is from RefSeq and is a predicted model, not a curated record. The transcript is spliced from 10 exons. NCBI's taxonomy places the organism in Eukaryota, Viridiplantae, Streptophyta, Magnoliopsida, Asterales, Asteraceae.
GUGGUUGUAUGCAUCUCCACUCUUUCGACGAUAGAUCACAUACCAUGUGAUUCAUCAGCCAAUUGUUCCACAUAAUAUUUGCAUUCAAGAGUUAUUGGAGUUAGUUGAACAUGAGAGACGGGUCAAGUUCAACCCGACAAGAAAUUCAACGAUGUUUCAUCUCCCGAUUGUUGUUGCAAGCUGGUGUCAAUGCCGGUGAGCUUGAGGACUGAAUCUUCGAACAUUCAGUUCUUUUGAUCAAUAAAGUUCGGGGCUGAUAAACCGAGAAAGAGAAGUUCCAGCGAGAGGAAUGGUUCGGUCACAUGCUACGAUUCAGAAACGAUGCGAUUAUUAUAUUCAGUAUUAUAUGCCUCCAGCUUCCUUUUGAACUGGCGUAUGCACAUUUGUACGAGAUCAUUGGAUCCGAUAUCAUAAGGUUUGGGUUAACGGCAAUUUACCUAUUUGCCAUUCAAUAUUUCACACAAAUUGGGGGGAAGGUGUCGGUGAAGUUAAUAAAGCGUGAAAAAAAUGAGAGCUCUGAAUAUAGGGCCAAUAGUUUGAUUUACAAGUUAAUGUAGGUGAUAACGUUAAGGUAGGUGGUUAUAUGCAUCUCCACGCUUUCGACUAUAGAUCACAUACCAUGUGAUUCAUCAGCCAACUGUUCCACAUAACAUUUGCAUUCAAGAGUUAUUGGAGUCAGUUGAACAUGAGCGACGGAUCAAGUUCAACCCGGCAAGAAAUUCAACGAUGUUUCAUCACCCGACUGUUGUUGCAAGUUGGUGUGAAUGCCGGUGAGCUUGAGGACUGAAUCUUCCAACAUUCAGCUGGGUUCAAAAAUUUAUCAACUUUUCUAAAUAAAAAUACCAGUUUAUGUUCGUUGUUCGUUUUUUGGGUAGGUUCUUUUGAUCAAUAAAGUUUGGGGCUGAUAAAACCGAGAAAGAGAAGUUCCAACGAGAGGAAUGGUUCAGUCACAUGCUACGAUUCAGAAACGAUGCGAUUAUUACAUUGAGUAUUAUAUGCCUCCAACUUCCUUUUUAACUGGCGUAUGCACAUUUGUACGAGAUCAUUGGAUCCGAUAUCAUAAAAAACAAGAGAAAACGGGAAAAGGGAAUGGCAGCCAGAAUAUCUUAUUUUAAUUCUAGGGUUGAGAAGGAGUAUUUUAAGCCUCUAUAUUCCGCCAGUGUUGGUGAUGAACUCGAAGAUGGGCUCUUUGAUGUCAUGAAUGGAUUCAACCCGUGUAACUCAAGUUUCUAACUUGAUCUCCUCUUUGGCGUCAUAGUAGUUGGUACUAAUACUCGCAUUGUGGGAUAAUGGGCUGGUACUGAAGAUGGAGCUACUAUUAUGCACAACAUGGUUGUUGAAGGGUCGUCAAGCGCUGGUUCCAUGAACAUAGUGCACACACUGGUCCAGCAGUUGCAACAGGGAAUUACACAACGAUAUGGGUGUACCUACUGGCGCCCACACUUGGAGUCCUGGCUGGAGCAGGUGUGCAACCACGUUAAGCUUGAAGCUUCAGUUGUAAAUGCUUUGAUCUUCUGUUUUGAGUGUGGUUUGAUGCCAAUAAAACAGGAAGUGAUGUUGUGUCCCUCCACAUCUGGUGUGGAAUAUAAGUUACCUGUGAUUUGUUUUUUUAUGGUUUGGCUUUUGUGUUGAUUGUUUCAAUAAAGAAAAACAUGUGUAUUUAGUUACAUAAUACUAUUAAUAAUACCUAAAUGGUUAAUAAACAAAGAUUUUGCCUUUAAAAUCUUAUCUUUUUGUAUUUAGUUACUAUUACUAAUAUGAUUUGUAUAUUUAUAUGAAGACAUUAAGAUAAUA